AAUGGGAGGCCCAAAUUCUCAGGGGGUGUCGCUCUAUUAGAUGUCAAAGAGGUCACCUUCGAUCACAGGCAACAACAGAAGACGACUCGACUUUUGAAAACACAAUGGCAAAAACAAAUAAGCGUUACGAAUCUGAGAAUGAUAUCAACAAUUGUAUUAAUAUUUAGAGACAAUGGAAACUUGACGGGAACCAAAUAAGCAUUCUUUUUUAUGAAAUUCCUAUUAAAUUCCAACAACUUUAAGCAUUAAUCAAAGAAGUACUAGCAGUGGGCUUUUUAUUGAACCUUGGGGCUAAAAAACACAUUCAUGGUUGAACCAUCAUAUUCAGAUUAAGAGAUGUGAAGUGUCAAAUUUCACACCAAGUCAACCUAACAUUUUCACUUAUUGUUUAUCCACACAUUAAAUGCUGGCACACUAAUGAAACAAUUAACUAUAUGAUCAGAUUUCCCUUUGACAUGGAUUCUGUAAAAACAUGCCCAUUUCAACGAUAUGAACAUCGAGGCUAGAUGUCUAUCCUUGUGGUCUCAUACGAGUUCAAACAAUACCAAGUAUUUAAAAGAUAUCUAUUACACAUUUGGUACUUCUCAAUGAACAAUCAAACCAAUUUAUAACACAACAAUUCCUAGACUAAACAGACAGAAGAAAUAUCAUGCAAUUAACCUAAGCUAGACAGAUUUUCAGAAGUGCAAAAAUAGACCAAAUACUUAUAUCAAUAAAGAUAUCCAUUCAAAUGAAUCACCCUUUAUAUUUAUCCAUUCUCAUACAUUGGGGAAUGAAAUGAGUACCUAGAAAUUGGACAAAAGAAUCAGAAGUGAGACAGUAAGCAUCAACACAGAUUCAACAGGAUCAGCUCAACACAAGGAAAUGAGAAACAACAAAAUAACACUUAAACCAACACCAAAAGCUUAUUAGAACACUCAAUUUCAAACCAUAUCGAACAACCAGAGAGAAUUUGAGAUUUGUUUUCAAAAUUAGAACCCCAAAAGAUCACAUAACCAGCCAAUAGAACAAUAUUCAUUCAAAGUUUAACCUUAUCUUUGGAUUUCUUCCACUCUUAAAUUCGAGGAAAGCAUUAAAAUCUAUACAAACCUUUUUGUAAUUUCCUAAGUUUUUAGUUCUUCAAAUCUAUGAAACAGUAAAAACAACUCAGUCGUCUGUAUUUUUUUGGGUUUUUAGCUCUCUUAUUUUUGCCUUGAAAGGCAAGAAUGAUACCUUUUUAUAGGCCCAGCCAUAGGGCAGCCCUCAGGAUCACUUAUUUACCCUUUACCCCCUUUUGAGUUCUUGUUUUAGCUUAGGGGUCCCUACAGUUCUGACUUGCCACUCAAGUUAAACAACUAAAAACAAAGAAAUUUCACCAAAAUCCCCACUAGAAACUUCUGAAAUCAAUUGCAAAGAUUCCCCCAUGUUAGAUUACCUAUACAACCCCCAAGCAAUUGUUAUUUACCUUCAAAGUCAAAAUUGGGUCAAAGUGACCCAAAACCCCAAACCCCUGGGCAUGCAUACCCUAGCCCAAACUUACAAACUUCAAACCAUUUAUCAACGAGCCUUGAGGCUCAAAUGAAUAAGGUUGUUUGGGCCAAAUGAAAGAAAACGAAAAAUAAACAACAGAGAAGGAAAAGAACUGAGUCAAGGAACUCAUGGAAUUCAAGCAAAAGAAACAACAAGGAAGGAACACUUAACCAACCUGACAAUCAAAUGGGAAACUGGUGAAUGAAACCACGAAUCAAGCAAGACAAACAAACAAAUGACUAAACAACAUUUGACCCCAAAUGCGUCUGUGUUAAAACCAAAAUUCAUCAAUCUUGAAAGAAAAGGAACAUGAGGCAAAGAAAAGAAGGGGAACAAUUAGAAAAAUGGAGAAAUUAAGGGAGAUAGAAGUACCUAAACAAAAACGGCGAAGACAGACUCAAGCUAAUCGAACCCACUCCUCUGAUUUGAACCAAAAAUGGGUGUUAAACGACUGUUAUUGUAAGAACGGUCGACUGACACUCGUUUCAGGCCCAAAUUGUCUUCAAAACGGGAGGACAUGAACCUAGGCCCUUGAAUGACGAGUUCAAGACUGGAAUGGAUUUAGGUAUGGAAUUUUAGAUCUAAUGUUCGGGACGUUUCAACAGGAUUUGAUGAAAGCUGGUCUGAGAUUUGGGGAGAGGGAGUCACGGUGAGUCCAUGGCCUAUUUUUUAUGGGGUUUGGCGAUGGCGCUGCCAGGUUUGCUGUGGUGGAGAAGAAGGGUGGUUAUCUAGGGAUAAGAGUUUGGGGGGUCUCUGAAAUGACGAAAUGAGGGAGAUGAUUG
RNAcentral lists this long non-coding RNA (2291 nucleotides) under Nicotiana benthamiana. RNAcentral's name for it is "long non-coding RNA (NBEN_LNC009289)". Lineage: Eukaryota; Viridiplantae; Streptophyta; Magnoliopsida; Solanales; Solanaceae. The record is from RNAcentral.